RNAcentral lists this ribosomal RNA (524 nucleotides) under uncultured bacterium. RNAcentral's name for it is "partial 16S ribosomal RNA". It matches the Rfam family "Bacterial small subunit ribosomal RNA", at positions 28 to 523 of the family's 1533-position model. The record is from RNAcentral.
GACGAACGCUGGCGGCGUGCCUAAUACAUGCAAGUCGAACGAAGCUGUUUUAACUGGUGCUUGCACCGACUUAAACAACUGAGUGCCGAACGGGUGAGUAACACGUGGGUAACCUGCCCCAAAGCGGGGGAUAACAUUUGGAAACAGAUGCUAAUACCGCAUAACCACAGAAACCACAUGGUUUCUGUGUCAAAGAUGGUUUCGGCUAUCACUUUGGGAUGGACCCGCGGCGUAUUAGCUAGUUGGUAAGGUAAUGGCUUACCAAGGCAAUGAUACGUAGCCGAACUGAGAGGUUGAUCGGCCACAUUGGGACUGAGACACGGCCCAAACUCCUACGGGAGGCAGCAGUAGGGAAUCUUCCACAAUGGACGAAAGUCUGAUGGAGCAACGCCGCGUGAGUGAAGAAGGUUUUCGGAUCGUAAAACUCAGUUGUCAGAGAAGAACGUGUGCGAGAGUAACUGCUCGUGCAGUGACGGUAUCUGGCCAGAAAGCCACGGCUAACUACGUGCCAGCCGCCGCGGUAA